Molecule: long non-coding RNA, 930 nt
Organism: Phyllostomus hastatus (greater spear-nosed bat)
Lineage: Eukaryota; Metazoa; Chordata; Mammalia; Chiroptera; Phyllostomidae
Exons: 2
Source: RefSeq, a predicted model, not a curated record
GGAGCCCCACGAGGACCUAGGUGGGCUCGCCUCGCUAGCAGGCCCGCGGGCGGCCGAGAGGUUGGCAGCCCCAGACCGCGUGCGGUUAGAUUGAUUGAUUCCCUCGAAAUAAAGUUCUACUUCAGCAAGCAAACAAGGCCGAGACCCACCUCCUGUCCCCAGCGCACCCAAGUCACUCUAGGACCCACAAGAGACGCAAAUCCAUCCAGCGGGUCUCCUCAGCGCUUCCAGCCGCCCCCAGACCCAAACCCUUUCCCCCAGACCCUGCGGCCCUCCCCGCCCCUCCCCCACACCAGGCGGGAGACUCUGGGCAGCCGCACCGUGGGCCCUGCCGCUCCAGAAGCCAAAGUCCGCGGUUGGGGACCGUUUUCCUCUCCAGUGCUCUCACGUGAACAACAAGGACAGAGGUGACCCUCGUCCAAAGGGCUUUUAUCUGCCCCCCACUGCCGCGUGAUCUCUUCACAGGUUGGAGGCAGAGCUUAAAAAGGAAAGAAAGAAAGUUAAUGUGCAUUGAGCACAGAUCUUAAAUCGGGGGAGUUAUCUCCGAUCUCUUUAAAUGGCAGCAGCAGUCCCAUGCACAACAGACUCAGUGUCUGCGUUCCAAAAGCUUGUGGGUAAAGUUUCAGUCAGAUAAAAGACACCUAAAGCGCAAAAACAUAGGUUUUCUCUGCUCCACAGAACUGCCGGCUGCUUUUCGCUCCCGGUUCCACCAGGGUGGGGUUUGUCCUCGCCCACUUGGGGGGUGCGGGGAGGCUUUGACCAGAAUAGUAAAUGAAAGAUCUCAGAACUCCAUUCUCCCCUACCAACCCUCCUAGCGCCACGGCGAUGGGUUCUUUGGGACUAACUCGUAUCUGCUACUAUUUGUUACAAAAUCAAAUUCCACAUUAAAAAAAAAACACAAACAAACCAACCCUGAAAACCACCGACAAA